GAUGAACGCUGGCGGCGUGCUUAACACAUGCAAGUCGAACGGGAUCCACCGGGCUUUGCUUGGUGGUGAGAGUGGCGAACGGGUGAGUAAUGCGUGACCGACCUGCCCCAUACACCGGAAUAGCUCCUGGAAACGGGUGGUAAUGCCGGAUGCUCCAGUUGAUCGCAUGGUCUUCUGGGAAAGCUUUCGCGGUAUGGGAUGGGGUCGCGUCCUAUCAGCUUGACGGCGGGGUAACGGCCCACCGUGGCUUCGACGGGUAGCCGGCCUGAGAGGGCGACCGGCCACAUUGGGACUGAGAUACGGCCCAGACUCCUACGGGAGGCAGCAGUGGGGAAUAUUGCACAAUGGGCGCAAGCCUGAUGCAGCGACGCCGCGUGAGGGAUGGAGGCCUUCGGGUUGUAAACCUCUUUUAUCGGGGAGCAAGCGAGAGUGAGUUACC
This 439-nucleotide ribosomal RNA is filed under the name uncultured bacterium. RNAcentral describes it as "bacterial SSU rRNA". It matches the Rfam family "Bacterial small subunit ribosomal RNA", at positions 28 to 479 of the family's 1533-position model. The record is from RNAcentral.